UGGGGAAUUUUGGACAAUGGGUGAGAGCCUGAUCCAGCCAUGCCGCGUGCAGGAAGAAGGCGUUAUGCGUUGUAAACUGCUUUUUGCCAGGGGAUAAAAAGACCGUGCGCGGUUAAUUGAAGGUACCUGGUGAAUAAGCCACGGCUAACUACGUGCCAGCAGCCGCGGUAAUACGUAGGUGGCAAGCGUUGUCCGGAUUUAUUGGGUUUAAAGGGUGCGUAGGUGGCCCUGUAAGUCAGUGGUGAAAUAUCUCAGCUUAACUGAGAGGGUGCCAUUGAUACUGCAGGGCUUGAGUACAGAUGAGGUAGGCGGAAUUGACGGUGUAGCGGUGAAAUGCAUAGAUAUCGUCAAGAACACCGAUAGCGAAGGCAGCUUACCAAGCUGUAACUGACACUGAGGCACGAAAGUGUGGGGGUCAAACAGGAUUAGAUACCCUUGUAGUCCCUGAGCGGGCUGGCAAGGCGCAU
This 467-nucleotide ribosomal RNA is filed under the name uncultured bacterium. RNAcentral describes it as "bacterial SSU rRNA". It matches the Rfam family "Bacterial small subunit ribosomal RNA", at positions 355 to 825 of the family's 1533-position model. The record is from RNAcentral.